This is a long non-coding RNA of Vespula pensylvanica (western yellowjacket), 535 nucleotides long. RefSeq lists it as uncharacterized. The transcript is spliced from 3 exons. The record is from RefSeq and is a predicted model, not a curated record. Lineage: Eukaryota; Metazoa; Arthropoda; Insecta; Hymenoptera; Vespidae.
AAACGAUAGACAGAUCUUUCUAACGAUUUGCCAAGUGUUUAUUUAACGUUCAGCAAAUAUGAAAUCUUUCGUUCUUUAUUUCGUCACGUUUUUAUUAAUGAUGUCACCAUUUUUAACAAUGGCUCAUCCAUUGGGUAUCAAGGGCGAUGAAUUACUUAAUAUAUCGAAAAAUGGAACCUCGGUUAAGUUGCCUGAAAUUGAUUUGUCCGAAGUAGGAAGUUUACCAGGUGACUUACUCAAACUACCUACUACAUUGAUCUCUGGAUCGGAUAUGAAGUGUCCUGAUAAUCAAAAAAAAGAUGUUAAUGGAAACUGCCGUGACUCAGUAGAAUAAGAUGAAAAAUCGAUCAUUAAUCUAUUAGCUUCGUCAAACAUUGUCAUGGAAAGAAAGAAAGAGGUUCGUUUGGAAUUUUCGAUCAAAGUUUCUCGAGGAUAUAUUUCUUCGAAAUAAAUGAUAAAUUCUUUAAUAUAAUACAGUUUUGUGAAAUAAAAAUGUACAUGAAUAUUUGCAAAUAAAUAUGUCCAAGUAAACAUA